CUCCGGUCAACCUGUAGAGAAAAAGACGAUGGUCACAGUGGUAUAAAAAUUACAUCGAACGAGAAUCGGGAAAGGCUUCAUCGAAGGCAAAAAUUGAGGAAAUCCGCGGUGGCGCCACUGGACUACGGCAGUGUUUUUCGACCAAUUAGCUGGUUAUUUAGCUCCGAUUUGGCCACAAGGAGGUUCAGCAUCAAAAAAUGAGCCAAUGGGAGAAAUUUUACCUCGUUUGGCGGCCAAAAAAUCCUCCGAUGCGGCGGUGGGUGGCGGCGGCCGGUUCCUCCGGUGGCUGAGUCGUUUUCUCCGGCGAUGGUUCUGACGGCUAGGGUUUUGGGGUUGGGUGUGGAUGCGAUUAUUUAUAACCUUUCCCUUUUAAUUU
This 376-nucleotide long non-coding RNA is filed under the name Carica papaya (papaya). RNAcentral describes it as "long non-coding RNA (CPAP_LNC016337)". The record is from RNAcentral. Lineage: Eukaryota; Viridiplantae; Streptophyta; Magnoliopsida; Brassicales; Caricaceae.